GACAGAGGAUGCAAGCGUUAUCCGGAAUGAUUGGGCGUAAAGCGUCCGCAGGUGGCUGUGUAAGUCUGCUGUUAAAGAGUCUAGCUCAACUAGAUAAAAGCAGUGGAAACUACACGGCUAGAGUACGUUCGGGGCAGAGGGAAUUCCUGGUGUAGCGGUGAAAUGCGUAGAGAUCAGGAAGAACACCGGUGGCGAAGGCGCUCUGCUAGGCCGUAACUGACACUGAGGGACGAAAGCUAGGGGAGCGAAUGGG
RNAcentral lists this ribosomal RNA (253 nucleotides) under uncultured bacterium. RNAcentral's name for it is "partial 16S ribosomal RNA". It matches the Rfam family "Bacterial small subunit ribosomal RNA", at positions 524 to 776 of the family's 1533-position model. The record is from RNAcentral.